RNAcentral lists this ribosomal RNA (849 nucleotides) under Capnocytophaga sputigena. Its description in RNAcentral is "bacterial SSU rRNA". It matches the Rfam family "Bacterial small subunit ribosomal RNA", at positions 49 to 902 of the family's 1533-position model. The record is from RNAcentral. Lineage: Bacteria; Pseudomonadati; Bacteroidota; Flavobacteriia; Flavobacteriales; Flavobacteriaceae.
UAACACAUGCAAGUCGAGGGAGAGGUUACCUUCGGGUAACCAAAACCGGCGCACGGGUGCGUAACGCGUAUACAAUCUGCCUUUCACAUAGGGAUAGCCCGAAGAAAUUUGGAUUAAUACCUAAUGGUAUAUAGGAGCGGCAUCGUUUUUAUAUUAAAGCUACGGUGGUGAAAGAUGAGUAUGCGUUCUAUUAGCUAGUUGGAGAGGUAACGGCUCCCCAAGGCGACGAUAGAUAGGGGUUCUGAGAGGGAUGUCCCCCACACUGGUACUGAGAUACGGACCAGACUCCUACGGGAGGCAGCAGUGAGGAAUAUUGGACAAUGGUCGGAAGACUGAUCCAGCCAUGCCGCGUGCAGGAUGAAGGUCCUAUGGAUUGUAAACUGCUUUUGUAAGGGAAGAAUAAGGAGUACGAGUACUUUGAUGACGGUACCUUACGAAUAAGCAUCGGCUAACUCCGUGCCAGCAGCCGCGGUAAUACGGAGGAUGCGAGCGUUAUCCGGAAUCAUUGGGUUUAAAGGGUCCGUAGGCGGGCUGAUAAGUCAGAGGUGAAAGCGCUUAGCUCAACUAAGCAACUGCCUUUGAAACUGUCAGUCUUGAAUGAUUGUGAAGUAGUUGGAAUGUGUAGUGUAGCGGUGAAAUGCUUAGAUAUUACACAGAACACCGAUAGCGAAGGCAUAUUACUAACAAUUUAUUGACGCUGAUGGACGAAAGCGUGGGGAGCGAACAGGAUUAGAUACCCUGGUAGUCCACGCUGUAAACGAUGGAUACUAGCUGUUUGGAGCAAUCUGAGUGGCUAAGCGAAAGUGAUAAGUAUCCCACCUGGGGAGUACGCACGCAAGUGUGAAACUC